Molecule: ribosomal RNA, 423 nt
Filed under: uncultured bacterium
Lineage: Bacteria
Description: bacterial SSU rRNA
Rfam family: Bacterial small subunit ribosomal RNA
Source: RNAcentral
UGAGGAAUAUUGGUCAAUGGGCGCAAGCCUGAACCAGCCAUCCCGCGUGAAGGAAGAAGGCCCUAUGGGUUGUAAACUUCUUUUCCAGGGGGAGAAUUUUUCCGUCGUGACGGGAAUUGACGGUACUCUGGGAAUAAGCAUCGGCUGACUCCGUGCCAGCAGCCGCGGUAAUACGGAGGAUGCGAGCGUUAUCCGGAUUUAUUGGGUUUAAAGGGUGCGUAGGCGGAUUGAUAAGUCAGUGGUGAAAGGCUGCAGCUUAACUGUAGACUUGCCGUUGAUACUGUCAGUCUUGAGUAUGGUCAAGGCAGGCGGAAUGUGUAAUGUAGCGGUGAAAUGCUUAGAUAUUACACAGAACACCGAUUGCGAAGGCAGCUUGCUGGGCCAUUACUGACGCUGAUGCACGAAAGCGUGGGGAUCGAACAG